This is a long non-coding RNA of Nematostella vectensis (starlet sea anemone), 1288 nucleotides long. RefSeq lists it as uncharacterized. The record is from RefSeq and is a predicted model, not a curated record. The transcript has 4 exons. NCBI's taxonomy places the organism in Eukaryota, Metazoa, Cnidaria, Anthozoa, Actiniaria, Edwardsiidae.
CAUGCCGGCGGUCAAGCUGAAAGUGAACUGCAGCCAGAGCUUCCGUAAUUACAAAAUGCAACCAUCUCAGGAGCAAGCAACCGGACCGUGUACCUAUCACUUAGCUGUGAUGACGAGGACAGGAGUCGGCCACUCAAAUGGGACUUGAGACAAUGUUUCGAUGAUCAAGCAAACCAGGCUAUAAAUAGAGAAUUGUUUGAGGAUGUCCGCAGCACAGACAAUGAGACUUUAUCAAAAACAUUUAAAGCUGCAAUGCGUGUUUAUAUUAGAACAAAGAAGAGAGAUUUCUUGAAUCGUGCCAAUAACAAGCAAAAUGAUAUCCUGAUGAGGCAAAGAAAAAGGAGCAGGCUCAACCCUAAAAAAAACAUGAGGAAAAGAACUCUAGAAAAGUCAACCAUCUAUACAGCAGAACUAAAAUCAAAGUAUGGAGCUGUGUUGCCACUGGAGUACCUAUCAUCAUAGCACACUGCCACAGACCAGGAAAAUGACAAUUUGGAUCCUGACAGUGAUGAUGAGCCUUCAGGGCCAAAGGUUUUGGUUAAAACCUGGCGGAGCCGAGAAAUUAACGAGCUUAUGGAGGCCCUUGACAGAAGGGUAAAGUGGCACCAGGGCCAGAAAGGCCAAAGCAUGUUAAUUGAGAGAUGAGAAGGUGCCAUUUCUGCUAGAACUGCACCUGUUGAUGCGUCAAAUUGGGCAAUACGUAGAGGAGGUGCACUGCAUUUCUAAAUUCAAACAAUAAAGAAUGAUUACAUUUACAAAUAAUUACAUUGAUUUCAAAAAACUGUUCUGCGCUGAAUUCGACAACAUUGUUUCCAGCAUGAUUGAAAUUUGUAAAUUACAACAAUUCACCCUCUAGUUUUUAUUUAAAACAACUAAAGAUGAUUUGAUUGAACUUUGUUUCCAUAAAUACUUUAAGGGCUGGCUUUCGAAAUAAAAACUAGAAAGAUAAAUUGUGGAAAUUAUAAACUUCUGCCAUGCUGAAGCUCAAUGACCUGUAAUACAUCAAUUGAAUAACAUGAGUUGAUCAUAUUUUACAAGCAUAUUAUGUAAUUAUAAUUUUACAUGUUCCUGUUCUUUGCAUUGCAUUUAAUUGAAAAUUUAUAUAAAGCCAUGAUAAUAUAUAUUCUACAAAAGGCUAUUUUUAUAUUUGUGUUACAUUUCUUUUUCGUACAAGUACUAGUACGCACUUUCAUGUAUUAGGAUUAACCAAUAUUUCACACUAUUCUUUAAAGUAUUAUAUUUUUAAAAUGUUGUAUGAUAAAUAAAGAAUCGUUGUUAUGAAGAUCCA